CUGUCAAUGGUACCGGAGCAAGCGCAGCUUGUGAGGAUAAGGAAUUGACAGCAUUACC
RNAcentral lists this small RNA (58 nucleotides) under Lactobacillus crispatus. RNAcentral describes it as "Bacillus-plasmid RNA". It matches the Rfam family "Bacillus-plasmid RNA". Lineage: Bacteria; Bacillati; Bacillota; Bacilli; Lactobacillales; Lactobacillaceae. The record is from RNAcentral.